GAGUUAAUCUCCAAAAGCCAUCUCAGUUCGGAUUGCACUUUGCAACUCGGGUGCAUGAAAUUGGAAUCGCUAGUAAUCGCGGAUCAGCAUGCCGCGGUGAAUACGUUCCCGGGCCUUGUACACACCGCCCGUCACACCAUGGGAGUUGGCUUUACCCGAAGGCGCUGCGCUAACCGCAAGGAGGCAGGCGACCACGGUAGGGUC
This 204-nucleotide ribosomal RNA is filed under the name Mesorhizobium thiogangeticum. RNAcentral describes it as "partial 16S ribosomal RNA". It matches the Rfam family "Bacterial small subunit ribosomal RNA", at positions 1265 to 1469 of the family's 1533-position model. Lineage: Bacteria; Pseudomonadati; Pseudomonadota; Alphaproteobacteria; Hyphomicrobiales; Phyllobacteriaceae. The record is from RNAcentral.